AACGAACGCUGGCGGCGUGCUUAACACAUGCAAGUCGAACGGAAAGGCACUGCUUUUGUGGGGUGCUCGAGUGGCGAACGGGUGAGUAACACGUGAGUAACCUGCCCUUCACUUUGGGAUAACUUCAGGAAACUGGGGCUAAUACCGUAUAGCAGCUCCUGCUCCAUGGAGGGGGUUGGAAAGUUGCGGCGGUUGCGGAUGGACGCGCGGCUUAUCAGCUUGUUGGUGGGGUAGUGGCUGACCAAGGCAUUGACGGGUAGCCGGCCUGAGAGGGUGAACGGGCACCAUGGUCCUACGAGAGGGACCAGUCGGGAAUGUUGGGCAACGGUGGGGAAUAUUGUCCAAUGGUCGCGCGUCUGAUGAGGCGACGUUCCGUUUGUGAUGACGUCUUGUGGGGUAAGAACAGCUGUAGCCUGUUACGAAGCGUGAGUGACGGUACUGGGUAAAUAAGCACCGGCUAACUACGUG
This 468-nucleotide ribosomal RNA is filed under the name uncultured bacterium. RNAcentral describes it as "partial 16S ribosomal RNA". It matches the Rfam family "Bacterial small subunit ribosomal RNA", at positions 28 to 507 of the family's 1533-position model. The record is from RNAcentral.